GGGCCCGUCGUCUAGCCUGGUUAGGACGCCGCCCUUACGAGCGGUAUGAAUAUGUAUAGGCCCGUUGAGAGAGGCGGAGGUCCGGGGUUCAAAUCCCCGCGGGCCCA
Molecule: transfer RNA, 107 nt
Filed under: Staphylothermus marinus F1
Lineage: Archaea; Thermoproteati; Thermoproteota; Thermoprotei; Desulfurococcales; Desulfurococcaceae
Rfam family: tRNA
About the family: Transfer RNA (tRNA) molecules are approximately 80 nucleotides in length.
Source: Rfam by way of RNAcentral